This 115-nucleotide ribosomal RNA is filed under the name Chelonoidis abingdonii (Abingdon island giant tortoise). Lineage: Eukaryota; Metazoa; Chordata; Testudines; Testudinidae. The record is from RNAcentral.
AACUGCAUCUAUACCAUUUGGGCUGUAGUCUCAUCAGAUCUUAUAAACUAAGCAGCAUUGAGCCUGGUCAGUGUUUGGAGGUGAGAACCCAAGGAACACCCAGCUGCUGAAGCAA